AGUGGGGAAUCUUAGACAAUGGGGGCAACCCUGAUCUAGCCAUGCCGCGUGAGUGAUGAAGGCCUUAGGGUUGUAAAGCUCUUUCAGCUGGGAAGAUAAUGACGGUACCAGCAGAAGAAGCCCCGGCUAACUCCGUGCCAGCAGCCGCGGUAAUACGGAGGGGGCUAGCGUUGUUCGGAAUUACUGGGCGUAAAGCGCACGUAGGCGGACCAGAAAGUUGGGGGUGAAAUCCCGGGGCUCAACCUCGGAACUGCCUUCAAAACUAUCGGUCUGGAGUUCGAGAGAGGUGAGUGGAAUUCCGAGUGUAGAGGUGAAAUUCGUAGAUAUUCGGAGGAACACCAGUGGCGAAGGCGGCUCACUGGCUCGAUACUGACGCUGAGGUGCGAAAGCGUGGGGAGCAAA
RNAcentral lists this ribosomal RNA (402 nucleotides) under uncultured Paracoccus sp. Its description in RNAcentral is "bacterial SSU rRNA". It matches the Rfam family "Bacterial small subunit ribosomal RNA", at positions 353 to 772 of the family's 1533-position model. The record is from RNAcentral. Lineage: Bacteria; Pseudomonadati; Pseudomonadota; Alphaproteobacteria; Rhodobacterales; Paracoccaceae.